Molecule: ribosomal RNA, 1522 nt
Filed under: Bacillus anthracis (anthrax bacterium)
Lineage: Bacteria; Bacillati; Bacillota; Bacilli; Caryophanales; Bacillaceae
Description: bacterial SSU rRNA
Rfam family: Bacterial small subunit ribosomal RNA
Source: RNAcentral
GCACUGUCGUAGGCUAUACAUGCAGUCGAGCGAAUGGAUUAAGAGCUUGCUCUUAUGAAGUUAGCGGCGGACGGGUGAGUAACACGUGGGUAACCUGCCCAUAAGACUGGGAUAACUCCGGGAAACCGGGGCUAAUACCGGAUAACAUUUUGAACCGCAUGGUUCGAAAUUGAAAGGCGGCUUCGGCUGUCACUUAUGGAUGGACCCGCGUCGCAUUAGCUAGUUGGUGAGGUAACGGCUCACCAAGGCAACGAUGCGUAGCCGACCUGAGAGGGUGAUCGGCCACACUGGGACUGAGACACGGGCCAGACUCCUACGGGAGGCAGCAGUAGGGAAUCUUCAUACGCAACUUGAGAAGAAAUCCCCUCAUUGAUUGAGUCAUCGGCCGCGCUGAGUGAUGAUGACUUGCGGGUCGUAAAACUCUGAUUGUUGAUGGAAGAACCAAAUGCUAGAUGGAUAAGCUGGCAACCUGACAGGAUACGUAAUCAAGAAAGCCAUCGGCUAUCUACGUGCCAGCAGCCGCGGUAAUACGUUAGUUGGUAAGCGGUAUCGGCAAUUAUGGGGCGUAAAGCGCGCGCAGGUGGAUUUAUUAAGUCUGAUGUGAAAGCCCACGGCUCAACCCGUGGAUGGGUCAUUGGAAAACUGGGAGAGCUAGAGUGCAGAAGAGGAAAGUGGAAGUUCCAUGUGUAGCGGUGAGAUGCGUAGAGAUAUGGAGGAACACCAGUGGCGAAGGCGACUUUCUGGUCUGUAACUGACACUGACGCGCGAAAGCGUGGGGAGCAAACAGGAUUAGAUACCCUGGUAGUCCACGCCGUAAACGAUGAGUGCUAAGUGUUAGAGGGUUUCGGCCCUUUAGUGCUGAAGUUAACGCAUUAAGCACUCCGCCUUGGGCAGUAACGGCCGCCAAGGCUGAAUCUCAAAGGAAAUUGACGGGGGCGCGCACAAGCUGUGGAGCAUGUGGUCUAAUUCGAAGCAACGCGAAGAAACUUACCAGGUCUUGACAUCCUCUGACGACCCUAGAAGUAGGGCUUCUCCGUCUGUAGCAGAAUGACAAGUGGUGCAUGCCUGUCGUCAGCUCGUGUCUUGAUAUGUUGGGUUUAGUCCCCCCACGAGCGCAUCACUUCGAUCGUAGUUGCUAUCAAUUAGUGGGGCACUCUUACGUCACUGCCGCGUGACCAACCGGAGAAUCCGGGGGAUGGCGUCCAAACCUCAACUCCCCUAUGACUUGGUCCCCCCCCCUGCGAUCAAUGGACGGUACAAAGAGCUGCAAGACCGCGAGGUGGAGCUAAUCUCAUAAAACCGUUCUCAGUUCGGAUUGUAGGCUGCAACUCGCCUACAUGAAGCUGGAAUCGCUAGUAAUCGCGGAUCAGCAUGCCGCGGUGAAUACGUUCCCGGGCCUUGUACACACCGCCCGUCACACCACGAGAGUUUGUAACACCCGAAGUCGGUGGGGUAACCUUUUUGGAGCCAGCCGCCUAAGGUGGGACAGAUGAUUGGGGCGAAGUCGAACAAUGAGACUACC